GGUUAGACGGAAAGACCCCGUGAACCUUUACUAUAGCUUCGCAGUGGCAACAGGACCGUUAUGUGUAGGAUAGGCGGGAGACAUUGAAGCAGGGACGCUAGUUCUUGUGGAGUCACCCUUGAAAUACCGCCCUUAACUGUCUUGUUGUCUAACCGCGGCCCGUCUAUCCGGGUCCGGGACCCUGCGUGGUGGGUAGUUUGACUGGGGCGGUCGCCUCCCAAAUGGUAACGGAGGCGCGCGAAGGUGGGCUCAGAGCGGUCGGAAAUCGCUCGUUGAGUGCA
This 281-nucleotide ribosomal RNA is filed under the name Kryptoperidinium foliaceum. RNAcentral describes it as "partial Bacterial large subunit ribosomal RNA". It matches the Rfam family "Bacterial large subunit ribosomal RNA", at positions 2074 to 2353 of the family's 2925-position model. The record is from RNAcentral. Lineage: Eukaryota; Dinophyceae; Peridiniales; Kryptoperidiniaceae.